Molecule: ribosomal RNA, 513 nt
Filed under: uncultured bacterium
Lineage: Bacteria
Description: partial 16S ribosomal RNA
Rfam family: Bacterial small subunit ribosomal RNA
Source: RNAcentral
GAUGAACGCUGGCGGCGUGCCUAAUACAUGCAAGUCGAGCGAACAGACGAGGAGCUUGCUCCUCUGACGUUAGCGGCGGACGGGUGAGUAACACGUGGAUAACCUACCUAUAAGACUGGGAUAACUUCGGGAAACCGGAGCCAAUACCGGAUAAUAUAUUGAACCGCAUGGUUCAAUAGUGAAAGACGGUUUUGCUGUCACUUAUAGAUGGAACCGCGCCGCAUUAGCUAGUUGGUAAGGUAACGGCUUACCAAGGCAACGAUGCGUAGCCGACCUGAGAGGGUGAUCGGCCACACUGGAACUGAGACACGGUCCAGACUCCUACGGGAGGCAGCAGUAGGGAAUCUUCCGCAAUGGGCGAAAGCCUGACGCAGCAACGCCGCGUGAGUGAUGAAGGUCUUCGGAUCGUAAAACUCUGUUAUUAGGGAAGAACAAAUGUGUAAGUAACUAUGCACGUCUUGACGGUACCUAAUCAGAAAGCCACGGCUAACUACGUGCCAGCAGCCGCCGUAA